AGUCCAUGGUGAGGGACCUUCCUUAACAGCUCCUUAUAAUGCUCCCAUGACUCAUAUAAAGAUUCUGCAUCUUGUUGAAAGAAAGUGGUGAUGUCAUUUCUCAUUUU
Non-coding RNA from Nelumbo nucifera (sacred lotus), 107 nucleotides. Lineage: Eukaryota; Viridiplantae; Streptophyta; Magnoliopsida; Proteales; Nelumbonaceae. The record is from Rfam.